RNAcentral lists this ribosomal RNA (608 nucleotides) under uncultured Nocardioides sp. RNAcentral describes it as "bacterial SSU rRNA". It matches the Rfam family "Bacterial small subunit ribosomal RNA", at positions 53 to 675 of the family's 1533-position model. The record is from RNAcentral. Lineage: Bacteria; Bacillati; Actinomycetota; Actinomycetes; Propionibacteriales; Nocardioidaceae.
ACAUGCAAGUCGAGCGGUAAGGCACCUUUGGGUGUACACGAGCGGCGAACGGGUGCGUAACACGUGAGUAAUCUGCCCUUCACUUUGGGAUAAGCCCGGGAAAUCGGGUCUAAUACCGGAUAUUCUCUGAUACACGCAUGUGGGUUGGUGGAAAGCUUUUGUGGUGGAGGAUGGGCUCGCGGCCUAUCAGCUUGUUGGUGGGGUAAUGGCUUACCAAGGCUUUGACGGGUAGCCGGCCUGAGAGGGUGACCGGCCACACUGGGACUGAGACACGGCCCAGACUCCUACGGGAGGCAGCAGUGGGGAAUAUUGGACAAUGGGCGGAAGCCUGAUCCAGCAACGCCGCGUGAGGGAUGACGGCCUUCGGGUUGUAAACCUCUUUCAGUACCGACGAAGCGAAAGUGACGGUAGGUACAGAAGAAGCACCGGCCAACUACGUGCCAGCAGCCGCGGUAAUACGUAGGGUGCGAGCGUUGUCCGGAAUUAUUGGGCGUAAAGGGCUCGUAGGCGGUUUGUUGCGUCGGGAGUGAAAACCCAGGGCUUAACUCUGGGCUUGCUUCCGAUACGGGCUGACUAGAGGUAUGCAGGGGAGAACGGAAUUCCUGGUG